CUACUCCCUGUUGCGUCCUUGCCUCCACACGUCGGCCGCGUACGCCGCGAAAGGUUAACACAAUAGUAUGACGGGGCCCGCACAAGCGGUGGAGCAUGUGGUUUAAUUCGAUGCAACGCGAAGAACCUUACCUGGUCUUGACAUAGUGAGAAUCUCUCAGAGAUGAGAGAGUGCCUUCGGGAACUCACAUACAGGUGCUGCAUGGCUGUCGUCAGCUCGUGUCGUGAGAUGUUGGUUAAGUCCCGCAACGAGCGCAACCCUUUCCU
Molecule: ribosomal RNA, 266 nt
Filed under: uncultured bacterium
Lineage: Bacteria
Description: partial 16S ribosomal RNA
Rfam family: Bacterial small subunit ribosomal RNA (bases 73-266)
Source: RNAcentral